RNAcentral lists this long non-coding RNA (656 nucleotides) under Mytilus galloprovincialis (Mediterranean mussel). The record is from RNAcentral. Lineage: Eukaryota; Metazoa; Mollusca; Bivalvia; Mytilida; Mytilidae.
UGCAAUUUUUAAGUUCUCUAAUUAUUUUUUAGAUUUAAAUACUUAUAAAAUCAUUUAAAUAGUUAUGAAAACAACUACUGUUCUUAUAUAAACAUCUAUUGAAAUAUUUUGUUGGCGUUCCAGGAAUAGGUUACUUAUAAAAUGUUGGCAUUCAAGGAAGACACCUGUGAAUUACCUUUACAUUAUUAUGCAAAUGAGUUUAGUCCGGGUAGAUUUCCCGCUAGUCAUGCACGCUUGGUUAUUGUUUUUGUUUUACGGGUAGAUAGUUAUCUAGUUAGUUCGCUGCUGAAAGUUGACGGGGUUGGAUGUUCUUUUGUAUUGAAGAUUUGUCCAAAGUCAUGUGGUUGUUAUAGUUGAAAAUAUCAGGUAUGUGUAGGAUAAUUUCUAUUGUCGGGUUUCUGUAUUUUUCGGUUUGAUAUAGUCCAUAUAGCGCGCAUUUGUCAAAUUAGUUCUAAUAAUGCGGAAUUCGCUAUUAUUGUUAAACUAACACUUUAUUGCAUGCAUGUUCCUUAUUUUUACAGUGAAUGUACAUCCUUGACGCACAAGUAUGAGUGGUCAGUGAGCCUUAAAUCCAUAAUUUUGGUAUGUGUAUAUUAAUGUUUUAUAAAAACAUAAUAUUUUAGCGUGAGCGUAUUUUUUCCAUAUUUCGGGUGAAA